CCUACGGGAGGCAGCAGUGGGGAAUAUUGCACAAUGGGGGCAACCCUGAUCUAGCCAUGCCGCGUGAGUGAUGAAGGCCUUAGGGUUGUAAAGCUCUUUCAGCUGGGAAGAUAAUGACGGUACCAGCAGAAGAAGCCCCGGCUAACUCCGUGCCAGCAGCCGCGGU
RNAcentral lists this ribosomal RNA (166 nucleotides) under uncultured Paracoccus sp. Its description in RNAcentral is "partial 16S ribosomal RNA". It matches the Rfam family "Bacterial small subunit ribosomal RNA", at positions 338 to 521 of the family's 1533-position model. The record is from RNAcentral. Lineage: Bacteria; Pseudomonadati; Pseudomonadota; Alphaproteobacteria; Rhodobacterales; Paracoccaceae.